AAUCCCCUGCGAUGCGCGUGAUUAACAUUCGUUUUUUGAGCCAACACCUUGGAACAGGGGGCCUUCCCUUACGGGCUGUGUGCAUGUUCGCUAUUUAGCCGCUUUGGCGGAGGCGAAAAGCCUAAGGCCUGUAACAAGGCGCCCACUUUGUGAAGAGGUUCAAAAAGGUAGUUAACACGGCAUAGGCGGGGGUUCC
RNAcentral lists this non-coding RNA (196 nucleotides) under Syntrophobacterales bacterium. Its description in RNAcentral is "6S RNA". It matches the Rfam family "6S / SsrS RNA". Rfam says of the family: E. coli 6S RNA was the first non coding RNA to be sequenced, but its function was unknown until recently. It consists of 184 nucleotides that fold into an extended hairpin structure with a large single-stranded internal bulge. The 6S RNA specifically associates with RNA polymerase holoenzyme containing the sigma70 specificity factor. Lineage: Bacteria; Pseudomonadati; Thermodesulfobacteriota; Syntrophobacteria; Syntrophobacterales. The record is from RNAcentral.